AUUGUUGCAGUUAAAACGCUCGUAGUUGAAUUUCAAAGAGUCAUGGCGUUUCUGAGGUGCUACGCUUGGUUGAUCGCCCAGCACUGACCAUCUAUGAUUUUAUUGUAGAACAGUGAGCCUGGGUGUUUAGCUCCAAGAAAGUUGUCUCCUUUACAAAGUGAUUUUUCUAAGGGUCUCUUGAGUACCAGUCCUUGGGAGGUUCUUUUUACCUUGAGUAAAUUAGAGUGUUUAAAGCAAACAGAUACAACAGUUUACUGUGUUUAAAUACUACAGCAUGGAAUAAUAAUAUCGAAUGAGCCGACGUACUUUUCGUUUCUUUGUUAUUUUGGCUUAGUUACGAUUAACAGGAAUAGUUGGGGGCAUUUGUAUUCAGAUGUUAGAGGUGAAAUUCUAAGAUUAUCUGGAGACGAACAAUUGCGAAAGCAUCUGUCUAACAUAUUUUCAUUAAUCAAGAACGAAAGUUAAGGGAGUGAAGACGAUCAGAUACCGUCGUAAUCUUAACCAUAAACUAUGCCAACUAUGUUUUGGAUGUAUGAGAAAAAGGUGGAAUACUUUGUUUUACGACAUUGUCAUUCCAUUUAUGCUUCAUUCAGUACCUUAGAGAAAUCAAAGUCUUUGGGUUCUGGGGCGAGUAUUCGCGCAAGCGAGAAAGUUAAAAGAAUUGACGGAAGGGCACCACCAGGCGUGGAGCUUGCGGCUUAAUUUGACUCAACACGGGGAAACUUACUAGUAUAAGACAAGAGUAGGAUUGACAGAUUAAUAGCUCUUUCUUGAUUUCUUGGAUGGUGAUGCAUGCCGUUUUUAGUUCGUGAAUAUGAUUUGUCUGGUUAAUUCCGAUAACGAACGAGACCUUAACCUGCUAGUUAGCGGCCGGUAUGUCGCGAAUUUAUCAAAAUCUUAUCUCGUAGGCUGGAUUAUUUUUAGAAGAUAUGACGGAUAACCGAGUCGAGUGUCGUCCCCAUCACUGUUCUAUUAAUUCGCAGUCUGUCCUGGUUUUUUUUUUGGUAAGUAUGUAUCCGCUUGAAUGUAAGCUUCUUAGAGGUACGAUGUGUGCU
Molecule: ribosomal RNA, 1055 nt
Filed under: Plasmodium ovale (malaria parasite P. ovale)
Lineage: Eukaryota; Apicomplexa; Aconoidasida; Haemosporida; Plasmodiidae
Description: SSU rRNA
Rfam family: Eukaryotic small subunit ribosomal RNA
Source: RNAcentral